RNAcentral lists this long non-coding RNA (889 nucleotides) under Equus caballus (horse). RNAcentral's name for it is "lncRNA (ENSECAG00000054780.1)". Lineage: Eukaryota; Metazoa; Chordata; Mammalia; Perissodactyla; Equidae. The record is from RNAcentral.
GCAAGAUCAGCUUUCACCUCCUCCUCUGCUCCACCAUACCUCCUUCACAUCAUCCAGUCACCCAGCAUUUGCAGUCAGUGCCCAGCUUGCAAGUGGGUCUUCAAAUAGGCUCAGUGCCCAUCUCACCAACUGCCGCAUUCUCUCACGGCCGCCAAGAGAAGACUUUGCUGUUUCAGCAUUCCAGGUGAGAGGGUGGAAAACACAAAUUCCGGGAGCUUAUGGACCAGGCUUCUUCAUGGGAUCUCAGCAUGGACACAGCAAGCUUGACUCAGCGAUUCCAAGUGUCUGUAUUGCGUUACAUGAAGUCCCCCAUGGCUGGCAUCAACAGUACAUUGCCUGAGGAAGGAAGAAGCCAAGCUGUCCUGUGAUCCCUGAAGACUAAGCCAGCAAGAGAAGCACCGGUUAGUCACGGACGAGAGCACAGGGAUUAGAAGUUGUUCAGCCAGAUGUAUCAGGUGACCACUAGAAGAAAGCAGCUGAGGGCUGGGAUGCCAAGAGGGCAAUUCAACACCGAGAUUCUUAACACAGACACCCAUUUUAUCUGAGGCAUCAAGCACUCAUUACUUGGCAGCAUCACUGCCUUCCCCAAUGAAAAUAGGAAUGAAAUUAUCACUUUCAUAAAGUUUACACACGCCCAAGGAGCUACCACUCUUUCCGUCUUUCCUCGUGUUUCAAAAUCCACAGAGCUGAGAGACAACCAGAUGGUAUAUCCUCAGAAGUGCCACAGUCAGCCUUAAGCUUUUUCGAGAACACAGAAAUAGUACUGGACUGGAAAUGAGAAGCUGGGAUUCCUCUCUCUUCUAUCAGGUAUUAAUUCCAGAGACAUUGAGAUGACGUGUUAGGCCUGUUGUUGUCCACAGCUGGAAUCAAGGCAACACUCAGGACCCUG